AUGCAGUCGAGGGGCAGCACAAUCGCUUGCGAUUGGUGGCGACCGGCGCACGGGUGCGUAACGCGUAUGCAACCUACCCUGUACAGGGGGAUAGCCCGAAGAAAUUCGGAUUAAUACCCCAUGGAACCAUAAGGCAACCUUGUUUAUUGGUUAAAGAUUUAUUGGUACAGGAUGGGCAUGCGUCUGAUUAGUUAGUUGGUGGGGUAACGGCUCACCAAGGCGACGAUCAGUAGGGGUUCUGAGGGGAUGAUCCCCCACACUGGCACUGAGAUACGGGCCAGACUCCUACGGGAGGCAGCAGUAGGGAAUAUUGGUCAAUGGGCGAGAGCCUGAACCAGCCAUGCCGCGUGCAGGAAGACGGCCUUCUGGGUUGUAAACUGCUUUUACCAAGGAACAAAAAGGCCCUGCGGGGCAAAUUGCGUGUACUUGGAGAAUAAGCACCGACUAACUCCGUGCCAGCAGCCGCGGUAAUACGGAGGGUGCAAGCGUUGUCCGGAUUUAUUGGGUUUAAAGGGUGCGUAGGCGGUCUAUUAAGUCAGUGGUGAAAUACUCCGGCUCAACCGGAGAGGUGCCAUUGAAACUGUUAGACUUGAGUACAGACGAGGUAGGCGGAAUUUAUGGUGUAGCGGUGAAAUGCAUAGAUACCAUAAAGAACACCAAUAGCGAAGGCAGCUUACUAGGCUGUAACUGACGCUGAGGCACGAAAGCGUGGGGAGCGAACAGGAUUAGAUACCCUGGUAGUCCACGCUGUAAACGAUGAUUACUCGAUGUAUGCG
This 776-nucleotide ribosomal RNA is filed under the name uncultured bacterium. RNAcentral describes it as "bacterial SSU rRNA". It matches the Rfam family "Bacterial small subunit ribosomal RNA", at positions 55 to 828 of the family's 1533-position model. The record is from RNAcentral.